AUUGAACGCUGGCGGCAUGCCUUACACAUGCAAGUCGAACGGCAGCGGGCCCUUCGGGGUGCCGGCGAGUGGCGAACGGGUGAGUAAUGCAUCGGAACGUACCCGGGAGAGGGGGAUAACCGGCCGAAAGGCUGGCUAAUACCGCAUGAACUCGGAAGAGUAAAGCGGGGGACCUUCGGGCCUCGCGCUCUCGGAGCGGCCGAUGUCCGAUUAGGCUAGUUGGUGGGGUAAAGGCCCACCAAGGCGACGAUCGGUAGCGGGUCUGAGAGGACGAUCCGCCACACUGGGACUGAGACACGGCCCAGACUCCUACGGGAGGCAGCAGUGGGGAAUCUUGGACAAUGGGCGCAAGCCUGAUCCAGCAAUGCCGCGUGAGUGAAGAAGGCCUUCGGGUUGUAAAGCCCUUUCGGCGGGGAAGAAAUCGGUCAGGCGAAUAGUCUGGCCGGAUGACGGUACCCGCAGAAGAAGCACCGGCUAACUACGUG
RNAcentral lists this ribosomal RNA (485 nucleotides) under uncultured bacterium. RNAcentral's name for it is "partial 16S ribosomal RNA". It matches the Rfam family "Bacterial small subunit ribosomal RNA", at positions 28 to 507 of the family's 1533-position model. The record is from RNAcentral.